UCAAUCUUCUUCGCAGAUUUCUGCUGCCGUUCAACACUCCGUCACACAUCCUCCACUCACGGCUUUGUUAUUCGCUCUCUUCAACACAGAACCUUCGAUGAACACCGCUUGCCUCGAUUAUGUAUCGUAAGCGGAAAGAUAUCUGGUGCCUCUUCAAAUUUGACGAAGAUGAAUAGAAGACCAGAAGCUUUGAUCUCCAGGUAUGAUGUGUACCUUGAUUACUCAAUGUUUCUUCUUCUUCUUUGUGUUAGUUAUUCCGAUGUGAUGAAGAAGAAAAUUGAUGUUGACUUUGUUAAUGCAGCAAUUAUUGUUAUUGUGUUAGAGUUGUUCUGGAUGCAGAUCACUGACUUGAUUCAAGAAGAUCGAUGA
This 369-nucleotide long non-coding RNA is filed under the name Vicia faba (fava bean). The record is from RNAcentral. Lineage: Eukaryota; Viridiplantae; Streptophyta; Magnoliopsida; Fabales; Fabaceae.